AUUGAACGCUGGCGGCAUGCCUUACACAUGCAAGUCGAACGGUAACGGGCCUUCGGGUGCCGACGAGUGGCGAACGGGUGAGUAAUACAUCGGAACGUGCCCGAACGUGGGGGAUAACGAGGCGAAAGCUUUGCUAAUACCGCAUACGAUCUACGGAUGAAAGCAGGGGACCGCAAGGCCUUGCGCGGACUGACCGGCCGAUGGAGGAUUAGGUAGUUGGUGUGAUAAAAGCUUACCAAGCCGACGAUCUGUAGCUGGUCUGAGAGGAUGAUCAGCCACACUGGAACUGAGACACGGCCCAGACUCCUACGGGGGGCAGCAGUGGGGAAUUUUGGACAAUGGGCGCAAGCCUGAUCCAGCCAUGCCGCGUGAAGGAUGAAGGCCUUCGGGUUGUAAACUGCUUUUGUACGGAAAGAAAAGACUUCUUUUAAUACAGGAGGGUCAUGACGGUACCGAAAGAAUAAGCACCGGCUAACUACGUG
This 482-nucleotide ribosomal RNA is filed under the name uncultured bacterium. RNAcentral's name for it is "partial 16S ribosomal RNA". It matches the Rfam family "Bacterial small subunit ribosomal RNA", at positions 30 to 507 of the family's 1533-position model. The record is from RNAcentral.